This is a long non-coding RNA of Suricata suricatta (meerkat), 488 nucleotides long. RefSeq lists it as uncharacterized. Lineage: Eukaryota; Metazoa; Chordata; Mammalia; Carnivora; Herpestidae. The transcript has 3 exons. The record is from RefSeq and is a predicted model, not a curated record.
CUAUUCAGCUGAGUGACAUCACUGACUCUCCCUGACUUUGAGCAUCAUUAGCUAUGUGCUGAGGGGGGUAAUGUUCACCACAGAGCUAUGCUAUGAGGAUCCCAGAAGAUAUUGGCCCAGGACCUAGGACAAGCACAAAGGCCUGGUGACACAGAGUGCCUGAUGUGAGGUGACAGAGGAUGUCCCUUCCCUCCCACCACCAUCGUCCCAGGGAUCCUCAGCACCGCUGGGGUGAGCCCUGCCGUCCCUCAGGGCCUGAGCCGCUGCUCAGCCAUUUAAUUCACGAGCUGAGGGGACAGCUGAGCCCAGCAGCUGGUGCACGUGGAGACAUCAGGGGUUCAGAGCAAAACUCCAUGAUCAAAGUCGGUGGUGCUGACACUUCCUACUUAGAGCGCAGCAUUGGAAGUUAGAAAAUCUUUUUCUCUCUUAACAAAGCCUGGAUUUCGAGACCACCACUUUGCCAAGGAGGCAACACAAAAUAAAAAUUC